AUAAUAAUUAGUCUUUUAAAUGGAGGCUGGAAUGAAUGAUUGGACGAGGUAAAUUCUGUCUCAUUAAAAUUAAAAUUUGAAUUUAAUUUUUUAGUUAAAAAGCUUAAAUAUUAUUAAAGGACGAGAAGACCCUAUAGAGCUUUAUAUUAUUAUUAUUAUUAAUUUUUAAUUUUAUUUUAUUAAUAAUAUAAUAUUUUGUUGGGGCGACAGGAAAAUUUAUUAAACUUUUUUAAAUUUAUUACAUUGAUUUAUGAAUUUUUGAUCCUAAAUUUUAGAUUAUUAGAUUAAGUUACCUUAGGGAUAACAGCGUUAUUUUUUUUAAAAGUUCAUAUUAGUAAAAAAGAUUGC
This 348-nucleotide ribosomal RNA is filed under the name Arge berberidis. RNAcentral describes it as "partial 16S ribosomal RNA". The record is from RNAcentral. Lineage: Eukaryota; Metazoa; Arthropoda; Insecta; Hymenoptera; Argidae.